ACGAGGUAAGGGUGGAAAGGCGAGGUAAGAGCUCACCCGAUGGCUGGAAACUGCCCAUCGCUGUAAACUCUAUCCGGAGCAACACCGUGGAGGGACACAAAGGCCGGCCCGGCCGUCCCGAGGAGGUGGCUGGAGCGCGCCGGCGACGGCGCGUCUAGAUAGAUGACUGUCUUCAAUGACAGAACCCGGCUUACAGGUUUGCUUGCAAA
RNAcentral lists this RNase P RNA (209 nucleotides) under Intestinimonas massiliensis (ex Afouda et al. 2020). Its description in RNAcentral is "partial RNase P RNA component class A". It matches the Rfam family "Bacterial RNase P class A", at positions 143 to 367 of the family's 367-position model. Rfam says of the family: Ribonuclease P (RNase P) is a ubiquitous endoribonuclease, found in archaea, bacteria and eukarya as well as chloroplasts and mitochondria. Its best characterised activity is the generation of mature 5'-ends of tRNAs by cleaving the 5'-leader elements of precursor-tRNAs. Cellular RNase Ps are ribonucleoproteins. Lineage: Bacteria; Bacillati; Bacillota; Clostridia; Eubacteriales. The record is from RNAcentral.